Molecule: non-coding RNA, 75 nt
Organism: Myotis brandtii (Brandt's bat)
Lineage: Eukaryota; Metazoa; Chordata; Mammalia; Chiroptera; Vespertilionidae
Source: Rfam
GGUGGUUCUUGGGCAACGCACCCCGGAAUUGGGCUCCCUCCUCUCUGGUUCCAGGUGUAUCACCCAAGAACCGCA